Molecule: long non-coding RNA, 1264 nt
Filed under: Ananas comosus (pineapple)
Lineage: Eukaryota; Viridiplantae; Streptophyta; Magnoliopsida; Poales; Bromeliaceae
Description: long non-coding RNA (ACOM_LNC038216)
Source: RNAcentral
UAUAUUGGACUUGGAUUUGAUUUAGGAGAAGAUCAUAACUUCUACACUGUCAUUUUUCUGAAAACUAACAGAUUUAGCUUUAGGAACUGUAGUUAGUUUGUAUCGCUGCAAUUUGUACGCGGUGGAUAUAUAGAAUAGUGUAGAAUGAAAUCACACUUGCGCUGGGAUGCCGAGUUUAUUUUUACAGUAGUGUUUAGACUGUUCCGGACUGUCGGGUGCCGUCGCGGUUGACGGUGGACCCAGAUUUCUAUAUUUGUAUCAGAUUGUGCCGAGGGCAUGUUUAAUAUGGUUGUUAGACCCUUCUGCUUUGACUAUAGCCUGUGAGAGCCUGAUUGAGCUCGGUAGAGACACGCUUGCAUACUCUGUUGGGUAGCGCCCACGAGUGCCACUCCGGAGUCGGACCUAGUACUUUUGCGUUGAUGUCGUUGCGUUCUGGUUAGACUUAUUCUCCACUGACGACCCAGUGUGGUGGUAGUUAGUGUAGUUUCGACAGGCGGGAUGGAUGUGUUCACAGUCCCUAGUGAGAUUGGGUUAGAGAUUGUAUUUUUCUACAGAUAGUUAGUGUUGGAUCAUAAUAGUAUAGUGGCAUAUAGCUGUAGAUUUGUUCCAGCUUCCUGUACUAUCUUUGAGUCUAAUUUCUGUAGACUCAGUGGGUGAGCCGUUGAGGUCGGUAGCGGUACCCACUGAGGACUACUUCUUUUUGCAGUAGUUCUCACACCCAGUUGUUGAACCCUUUUGCAGAGCCUUCUUCUUCGGCUGCUGCUGUUGCGGAUACAGGUUGUGGAAAGGAAGUCGCGAGUUAGAUCCAUUCCCAUUUUGUUGCUGAUCUAGAGAUUUACCAGCUACAGAUAGUGUUGGUUUUGGUUCUUAUACAUAUUGAUGUUAGAUCCUCGCUGGAGCGAGUAUUAUGUAUCUGGAGGCUAUGUAUGUAUAGAAAAUUUGAUGUUAUUUAUGUAUGCUUUUUUCAGUUUAGCAGCUCUAUACUACUAGUUGUAGUUUUGUAUGAUUACAGGUACAGGUACAGCUAUCGCUUCGUAUAUAGGAAAAAUUCUUUUGUAUACGGCGGAUUUGUCGACGUGUCCGGAAAAACGAUUAAUCCGGGGCGUGACAGAUUAAGUUGGUAUCAGAGCUUAGUAUUAGGUCGUUGGGAUCUAGAAACCCUAAGUUUGGCAAAUUUUAAGAAAGUAAAACGCGAGAGGAGUGAUUUAUCGCGAAAGUCAACGAUUGAACUGUUUUAACUUCUCCUAGAGUGGAGUGAGUGGUU